This 176-nucleotide microRNA precursor is filed under the name Oryza brachyantha (malo sina). Its description in RNAcentral is "MIR812 microRNA precursor family". It matches the Rfam family "MIR812 microRNA precursor family", at positions 19 to 188 of the family's 205-position model. Lineage: Eukaryota; Viridiplantae; Streptophyta; Magnoliopsida; Poales; Poaceae. The record is from Rfam by way of RNAcentral.
CUUUUUUCCGUGUCUAACGUUUGAUCAUUCGUCUUAUUUGAAAAAUUUAUGCAAAAACCUAAAAAAAUUAGUCACGUAUAAAGUAUUAUUCAUAUUUUAUCAUCUAGUAAUAAUAAAAAUAUUAAUCGCAAAAAAAUUUCAAAUAAAACGAAUGGCCAAACGUUAGAAAAAAAACG